This 253-nucleotide ribosomal RNA is filed under the name uncultured bacterium. RNAcentral's name for it is "partial 16S ribosomal RNA". It matches the Rfam family "Bacterial small subunit ribosomal RNA", at positions 524 to 776 of the family's 1533-position model. The record is from RNAcentral.
UACAGAGGUCCCAAGCGUUGUUCGGAAUUACUGGGCGUAAAGGGCUCGUAGGCGGCCAACUAAGUCAGACGUGAAAUCCCUCGGCUUAACCGGGGAACUGCGUCUGAUACUGGAUGGCUUGAAUCCGGGAGAGGGAUGCGGAAUUCCAGGUGUAGCGGUGAAAUGCGUAGAUAUCUGGAGGAACACCGGUGGCGAAGGCGGCAUCCUGGACCGGCAUUGACGCUGAGGAGCGAAAGCCAGGGGAGCAAACGGG